UGAGGAAUAUUGGUCAAUGGGCGGAAGCCUGAACCAGCCAAGUAGCGUGCAGGACGACGGCCCUAUGGGUUGUAAACUGCUUUUAUGCGGGGAUAAAGUGGGCCACGCGUGGCCUUUUGCAGGUACCGCAUGAAUAAGGACCGGCUAAUUCCGUGCCAGCAGCCGCGGUAAUACGGAAGGUCCGGGCGUUAUCCGGAUUUAUUGGGUUUAAAGGGAGCGUAGGCCGGAGAUUAAGCGUGUUGUGAAAUGUAGACGCUCAACGUCUGCACUGCAGCGCGAACUGGUUUCCUUGGGUACGCACAAAG
RNAcentral lists this ribosomal RNA (305 nucleotides) under uncultured Prevotella sp. Its description in RNAcentral is "bacterial SSU rRNA". It matches the Rfam family "Bacterial small subunit ribosomal RNA", at positions 355 to 657 of the family's 1533-position model. The record is from RNAcentral. Lineage: Bacteria; Pseudomonadati; Bacteroidota; Bacteroidia; Bacteroidales; Prevotellaceae.